UAUAUUGAUUGGCUUAAUCGAAAUACAAUAUAAUGUAUGCUUAUAUACAGGGUCAAUGUGACCCCAUUCAAAAACUUCCAUGGUUAACUCAAUGUGAGAUUGCGCUCAUUCAAGCCCAUAUACACCCAUGACUUGACCCAAUCUCACCUUCUUUAGACUCAGACAGUCCAAUAUAAGUUAGCCUCUUAAGGUCCAAAUCUUCUAGACCUCAAAAAUGUGAAGGCUGACAGUCUUUCACCUUAAGGCCCAAACUAGCCCUAGAAUCUCCAUGAACACCUCAUGGGUCAUAGGCCUUAGCCUUUAUCUUGAUCCCCUG
This 316-nucleotide long non-coding RNA is filed under the name Elaeis guineensis (African oil palm). Its description in RNAcentral is "long non-coding RNA (EGUI_LNC007657)". Lineage: Eukaryota; Viridiplantae; Streptophyta; Magnoliopsida; Arecales; Arecaceae. The record is from RNAcentral.